Molecule: long non-coding RNA, 2739 nt
Filed under: Zostera marina
Lineage: Eukaryota; Viridiplantae; Streptophyta; Magnoliopsida; Alismatales; Zosteraceae
Description: long non-coding RNA (ZMAR_LNC005654)
Source: RNAcentral
AUCGGAUGACCUUUGAGGUCGUGAGCUUCUGGGAUCCGGGAAACGAUCUUGCCUCCAAUCCUCCACGCAGCUACAUCGCUGUUUACAUGAAAUAAUAUUGUACCUUGAAUAGAGUGUUAGAGAUAAAAGAAUAAUAUUCAAGGUAUAUAAUACAAUUGUUUCAAUUUCAAUUUUGACUUUGACUCAAAUAAUUCUAGGGUUUAUUUGUGCCUAAUUGGAGGUAGGUUUAAUCUUGAUUAAUUUCACCCUAUGGAUUAAGAAUAUUGUAAUUAAAGUUUAAAUCAACAUGAUUAAAAUAUAAUACUGUAUCGACAAUUUAGAUUUUACAGGUUAUGGUGUGAAUGUGAAAGUAUAGCUUCAGCCUCCGAAACUACCGCCAAAACCAACUUCUCGAUGUCCAGGUAUCUCACUUCUGCUUCCUACAAUGACUGGGAGUGGUAGUAUACCGGCCUCUGAGUGCCCUCUGCUUCUGAGAGCAGUACAGCGCUGACGGCCGUGUCCGAGCAGGCAACGUACAUUGUUAGGGGAUCCCCUCUAGCUUUGUGUGUGGGCUUACAGAUGCUCACACACUCAAACACAACUCCCCCUCACUAUCAAGUGUUAUCUUUUUCUUCUCUCUCUGAUUUCCAACCCCGCCCCCUCCUCCCUAGGGGUCCAAGCUAUACUAUAGGCGACCAACUUCAAAAGUGGUCUCAAAAAAUUAAAUAUAAGUGACCAACCUCGAAGUUGGUCGCUAGAGUUGGUCAGAAAAAGCCUCCUUUCUUGUAGUGCCAGGGAGGGCAUUUAUACUGUGUCCGGCCCUUAUUUACUCCAUGGGGUUACCUCGGCUCAAAGGCCCUUGGUCCCGCGGUCUACGGCCCGUCACACGGGUCGUGGUGCCGACAGUUGCGAUCCAUGGUUCGUGCAACGGACCGUGGUACCAACAACAACAAUACCCAACACCUUUCCUGUCCCGUCUCGAUUUUGCCCCUGUUGUCAUAAACGGGGUCGGGGCUAUAAGAAAACACUGAAAAUCCAGGGUAAAAACAGCAAUUUUACCAAGGAAUAUAAAACAAGGACUUAAGUCAAAUAAAACAAUUAUAAAGGUUAUAACAUAACCGUAUAAACUGUCAACUAUCAACCAACAGGGGGUUGUAAUAUAAAAGUUUCAAUAAAACGUUGACAGGACCUAAGUGUAAUAAAUAAAAGUUUUUUUAUAAUAAAAACUAACUUGAGGUCAAGUAUUACUGUGCAGGUAAUUAACCCAAGACUCGUGACAAAAUAAUUAUAAAAGCAGAAGGGCCAAAGUGAAAAAGUUUCAAAUAUCCGUUAAUGGACCAAUCACAACGGCCGGAUUUUAUUAAGCUUAAUUAGUUACGAGAUUAGUUUAAUCUUUGUAUUAAAUAUCAAUGUAUUACAAUACAAUUAAUUAAUUCAAUACAAAGUUAAUACUGGUAAAUACCAGAUUAAAGAAAUAAGUCUUAAACUGUCUUCUCCUCCUCCUUAACGACAGUUUAUUCCGGUAACGCCCCCUUUCUCCAGUGGGCGACGAACCCUAGCCAGCAAUCUGGCAACUCCGCAGCACUUCGACCAUCCUCGGCUUGAGGAAGGCACUACAUUGUCGGCCCUCCUCCGCAACCCCAAGUUUAUAGGGGCAUGGAGCAAGAAAAAUCUUUUGAAUAAAGAAAAUAUUUGUAAUGUCAAUAAAUAUUUUGUUAAAGAAUAGUUAUAAGAAAAAAAUUAUUAUUAAGAAAAAUUAUUAUUAAGGGAAAAAAGUUAUAAAAAUAUAGUGUAGGGUUAUUUAUUUUAUAAAACUAUUUUGGGUCGGAUUUUUUAUGGGUUGGAUACCUUAAAACCCGAACUUGUACAAUCUAGGGUAAUUUUGAUCUGGUUAGGGUUGGAGUUAGAGUCAAAAGUUUUGAGAGGAUGAAACAUUAGACCCAAAUUCUACCCGACCAUCUCGGGUUCGGGUUUUGCUCUACCUAAAUUUUUAAUAAAGAAAAAAAAUUGAUUCUAAGAAGCUAAACGAUUCUAGAUCGACAAAGUGGACAAGAUCUAUUCCUAUCAAAAAUCCAUUGAAACGCACAGGAAAUAUGAAAAAAAUGUUUACAAGGAAGCUCGACGACCAAGCAUUUCAUUCCUUCAAAUUCCUCCAAACAUAUUGCACACAUUGUCUGAUCGUUAAAAUCAUAAACAUCAUCGCCCCAGUUGAAUAUCGUAGAAUCCACGACUAGUUUCACUCGCAAAUCUCGCUCCAUAACCAUAUCAUUCUCUUCUAAAAGCUUGUCAUAUGAAAAAGCAAACAAUUCAUAGUUUAAUCUGAUCGACACAAUCAAAAAUUCCGUCGAUCCAACUCCCUGGGUUUCAUAGUAUAGGAAGCGAGAAAGCGCAUUUUCGAUUCUAUUCAUUACUUGUUCGUUAACGUGAACGUAGCGAACGAUAUCUUGAACGGUUUCCUUAGUGGAAUCGAAGGAACCAAAAUGUUUGUCGAUUUCAGAAAUCAGAUUGGGUACGAAUGACGAUAAACUAGUUAUUGAUUGUGGUAACGACAAAGAUGAGUUCCUAAUGAUGUGUUUUCUGUCAACGAUUACUUCCAUGAUUACCGGCUGGAAUGUAAUUGCAUCAUUGUUGUUCAGUUCCCUUCGUUUUGAUUUGAAUUCACAGACGACUGUAUAUUUCUUGUUGGCGAAUUCGACUUUCUCUGAUGAAUCCCAUGCACUUUUGAGUGUAGAAGAUGCCAUUGUUCAAGUUACUUUUUGA